GACGAACGCUGGCGGCGUGCUUAACACACGCAAGUCGAACGGAAAGGCCCUGCUUUUGUGGGGUGCUCGAGUGGCGAACGGGUGAGUAACACGUGAGUAACCUGCCCUUGACUUUGGGAUAACUUCAGGAAACUGGGGCUAAUACCGGAUAGGAGCUCCUGCUGCAUGGUGGGGGUUGGAAAGUUUCGGCGGUUGGGGAUGGACUCGCGGCUUAUCAGCUUGUUGGUGGGGUAGUGGCUUACCAAGGCUUUGACGGGUAGCCGGCCUGAGAGGGUGACCGGCCACAUUGGGACUGAGAUACGGCCCAGACUCCUACGGGAGGCAGCAGUGGGGAAUAUUGCACAAUGGGCGGAAGCCUGAUGCAGCAACGCCGCGUGCGGGAUGACGGCCUUCGGGCUGUAAACCGCUUUCGCCUGUGACGAAGCGUGAGUGACGGUAAUGGGUAAAGAAGCACCGGCUAACUACGUG
Molecule: ribosomal RNA, 468 nt
Filed under: uncultured bacterium
Lineage: Bacteria
Description: partial 16S ribosomal RNA
Rfam family: Bacterial small subunit ribosomal RNA
Source: RNAcentral